Molecule: ribosomal RNA, 1611 nt
Filed under: human gut metagenome
Description: bacterial LSU rRNA
Rfam family: Bacterial large subunit ribosomal RNA
Source: RNAcentral
UUAGGGCUAGCGUCGAUGUUAAGUCUCUUGGAGGUAGAGCACUGUUUGGGUGAGGGGUCCAUCCCGGAUUACCAAUCUCAGAUAAACUCCGAAUGCCAACGAGAUAUAAUCGGCAGUCAGACUGCGAGUGCUAAGAUCCGUAGUCGAAAGGGAAACAGCCCAGACCACCAGCUAAGGUCCCAAAAUAUAUGUUAAGUGGAAAAGGAUGUGGGGUUGCACAGACAACUAGGAUGUUAGCUUAGAAGCAGCUAUUCAUUCAAAGAGUGCGUAAUAGCUCACUAGUCGAGUGACCCUGCGCCGAAAAUGUACCGGGGCUAAAACAUAUUACCGAAGCUGUGGAUACCUUUAUAGGUAUGGUAGGAGAGCGUUCUAUGUGCGAAGAAGGUGUACCGUGAGGAGUGCUGGAGCGCAUAGAAGUGAGAAUGCCGGUAUGAGUAGCGAAAGACAGGUGAGAAUCCUGUCCACCGUAAGACUAAGGUUUCCAGGGGAAGGCUCGUCCGCCCUGGGUUAGUCGGGACCUAAGGAGAGACCGAAAGGUGUAUCCGAUGGACAACAGGUUGAUAUUCCUGUACUAGAGUAUAUAGUGAUGGAGGGACGCAGUAGGCUAACUAAACCAGACGAUUGGAAGUGUCUGGCCAAGCAGUGAGGUGUGAUAUGAGUCAAAUGCUUAUAUCUUUAACAUUGAGCUGUGAUGGGGAGCGAAGUUUAGUAGCGAAGUUAGUGAUGUCACACUGCCGAGAAAAGCUUCUAGCGUUAAUUAUACUCUACCCGUACCGCAAACCGACACAGGUAGUCGAGGCGAGUAGCCUCAGGUGAGCGAGAGAACUCUCGUUAAGGAACUCGGCAAAAUGGCCCCGUAACUUCGGGAGAAGGGGCGCUGACUUAUGGUCAGCCGCAGUGAAUAGGCCCAAGCAACUGUUUAUCAAAAACACAGCUCUCUGCUAAAUCGUAAGAUGAUGUAUAGGGGGUGACGCCUGCCCGGUGCUGGAAGGUUAAGAGGAGUGCUUAGCGUAAGCGAAGGUAUGAAUUGAAGCCCCAGUAAACGGCGGCCGUAACUAUAACGGUCCUAAGGUAGCGAAAUUCCUUGUCGGGUAAGUUCCGACCCGCACGAAAGGCGUAAUGAUUUGGGCACUGUCUCAACGAGAGACUCGGUGAAAUUUUAGUACCUGUGAAGAUGCAGGUUACCCGCGACAGGACGGAAAGACCCCAUGGAGCUUUACUGUAGCUUGAUAUUGAGCACUGGUGGCACAUGUACAGGAUAGGUAGGAGACGAAGAAACCAGGACGCCAGUCUUGGUGGAGUCGCUGUUGGGAUACUACCCUUGUGUCACUGGGGUUCUAACCCGUGGCCCUUAUCGGGUCAGGGAACAGUGUCAGGUGGGCAGUUUGACUGGGGCGGUCGCCUCCCAAAGAGUAACGGAGGCGCCCAAAGGUUCCCUCAGAAUGGUUGGAAAUCAUUCGAAGAGUGUAAAGGCAGAAGGGAGCUUGACUGCGAGACCUACAAGUCGAGCAGGGACGAAAGUCGGGCUUAGUGAUCCGGCGGUGCUGAAUGGAAAGGCCGUCGCUCAACGGAUAAAAGCUACCCUGGGGAUAACAGGCUGAUCUCCCCCAA